This is a long non-coding RNA of Ictalurus punctatus (channel catfish), 1395 nucleotides long. The record is from Ensembl. NCBI's taxonomy places the organism in Eukaryota, Metazoa, Chordata, Actinopteri, Siluriformes, Ictaluridae.
UUCUUUUUCGGCUUCGCCUUCGUCUGUAAGACAUUUUUGUACUUGAGCGCCAUCAAGUCGUACUUUUAUGUAACUUCGUUGGCUCCGUGCAUGUAGACAAAAACGCGAAUCUCAUCGGUCGGCCAGUUCUUGACGUGGCACGUCAGGAUCGUUGUCUUGCUGCAUGACCCACUUUCUCUUCAGAUUCUGUUCAUGGACGGAUGUCCUGAUAUUUUCCUUUAGAAAUCGCUGGUAUCGUUCAGAAUUCAGCCAUCAAUGUCUGCAAGUCGUCCUGGUCCAGAUGCAGCAAAACAGACCCAAACCAUGACACUACCACCACCAUGUUUCACAGAUGGGAUAAAGUUCUUAUGCUGGAAUGCAGUGUUUUCCUUUCUCCAAACAUAACGCUUCUCAAAGUGCAUGAACACCGGCUGGAAGAAGAAACCUUCAGGUGGAAGAAGAGGAAGAAAUUAGUACCUUACCUGAAUAUAUACUGGAUCUGUACGUGACUUGAAUAGAGAUCAGAACAUUAUUCUGAUAAUAAUAUUUUUAACAAAGGCCACGUUAAAAUAAAGAGGACACAAACUCAACAGUCGAGCAUGAACAACCACUUAUCAAAACUACUUAAUAUUAUGUGUGUCCUGUGAACCGAGCAGCCAGCCAAAUUCCCAUUCCUGAGUCAGGCAACAAAACUGUAAAAAACAAACAAACAAAAAACUUGCUGAUACGACAUACGCCUGUGAUGUUUAUGUGAAAAAAAAAAAAACUAAUGUAAAAAUUAGGUUUUUUUUUUUUUUUAAUUUUUUUAAAAAUACUUAAAAAAAAUAUUUUUAAAAUUUAAAUUUAAGUUUAAUGAAAUUUAACUUUAAUUAAUUUUAAAAAAAAUAAUUUUUAAUACUUACAUACAUACUGUACAUACAGUACUGUGCAAAAGUUUUAGGCAUAUGCAAAGAAAUGCUGUAGAUGCCUUCAAAAUACUGAAAUACAGUAAAGAGCAGUAAACAGUAGUAAAUGACACAAAGUCAAUAUUUAGUGUGACAAAAAAUAAAAAUAAAAUAGUAGUCUCAGGUAGAGUUAGUGCAGUUUUAUAAGGAAAUGAGCUGUAAUUUUAUUGAGCAUCUUGCAGAAUGCCGCUUUCUUUACUGAUGAACAUUUUUCUGUAACAUUUAAUUUUGUGCUGGAAAACUAAUGUUUGGGAAUCUAAAAUGUGUUUGUACUGACUCGAUAUGUCGAAGUCAUCAAAUAAAAAUCUGUAACAAAGUUUGUACUAAAAAAAAAAUAGGUGCCUAAAACUUUUGCACAGUACUGUAUGUAUUUUUCUUUAGGUUUUUAGUUCCCAAAAUCCUUAGGCAUAUUUGUAUACUAAUAUAUGUAUUUUGUUGUUAUACAUUUUUUUAGAUUUAAAUUCGCAUUCAC